This 1410-nucleotide long non-coding RNA is filed under the name Macaca fascicularis (crab-eating macaque). RNAcentral describes it as "lncRNA (ENSMFAG00000059417.1)". Lineage: Eukaryota; Metazoa; Chordata; Mammalia; Primates; Cercopithecidae. The record is from RNAcentral.
CUCUACUAGCACUUACACUCCAUCAGUCACCGAUAACAGCCCUGGGGAAAAGGGAUUAUCACUCCCAUUUGAUAGAAUGAUAGAAUGAUAGAGGAAGUUGAACCAAAGAGAAGCCAAACAGCUUGCUGGUCACAAAGCUUGUGAAUUGCUGAGCAGAGAUUGGGACCUUGGUGUGUUAACCAUGUCAUUCUGGUGCUUUGACAUCUGUGGCUUCGCUGACCCUGGACAGACUCACAAUGCCAGGCCCGGCCAAUUCCUAGGGGUAGUGAACCAUUCCUCGAGAGCAUGGCUUUCCUCUGCAAACUAACCAGCCCAGAGCUCACAUCCACCACGUCUUCUCUCCAGCUCACUCACAACGGCCACUCUCCCCCUGCCCUGAUCAUACCAGGGCCAGGCAAUGACAACUAGGGACGACCCCUGUGCCGCAGAACCCCCUGAAACUGUUCCAGCUAGUCAAUCCUAAGCCUGCUUACCCUGCCUCACCCGUUCCUUCCUGCAAAAGUGAUAAUAAAGGCUCUUGCCCACAUUUUCCCAUCUAUCCUUCUGCCUCUCAACUGGCCCUGGUGCAUUCUGUGUGGUCCUUUGGGGUGUGGCGUACCCUCUCCUCUUGAGACCUAUGAGUCACAAACACGCUUUCCAAUGGAAAUUAGCCCUGAUGCGCUAGUCCCACCGUACCUGAACAGCAAGGACAAAACCUACAUUUUCAGAUACCGGUAAUAGCUAAUUCCCAAGACAUCAGCACAACCACCUCACCACAGUUCCUUUGCCAGGGCAGUGCCCGAGCACUCUGCCUCUGAGUGGGGCGUGAAUGGCUUCCUGUGUCCCUGGCUUGUCUCCGCUUGGAUGGCUGUGUGCCCUGAGCCUGCCCACAGUGCCCAUCCCGGGGGUUUAUCUGACUAAUAUCUGUCCUUUCCAUAGACCAUGACUCCAUGAGGGUGAACCAGGACUGUUCUGCUCGCCUUGUGUCUGCACACAGUAGGUGCUUAACAAACAUCUGGGGUGUCUUCAAGUCCAUUCCCUCAUCUGACCCUCGCAGCAGCCCUCGGAGGUAGGCAGGUAUGGGCUCUCCGACCCAUAUCAUAAAGAGGAAAGAAGGGGCCUAGCAAAGUGAGGAGGCCGCCUCAUGGCCACAUGGUGGGUCAGAGGCAGAGCAAGAGCUGGAAUCAAGGCCUGAGCCCCCAAAGCUGGCCAAUAUUUUCUGGCGACUGUGUCUCAUGGUUUGUGUUGCAGUCUGCACACUAGAGGAGACAGGUCUGCACUCGGCCAUUCUGAAGACGGUAAAGGUGAGAGGUCAGUCUGGUCUGGGGAGGGGACAGGACAGCAGGCUAACCAGCUAACCAGGCUAACAGCUGGGCACCUGUGUCAUGAUGCCCCUCAGACCUUUGAAAUAACAUUAAAAAAGAAGACUUG